Molecule: transfer RNA, 72 nt
Filed under: Escherichia coli
Lineage: Bacteria; Pseudomonadati; Pseudomonadota; Gammaproteobacteria; Enterobacterales; Enterobacteriaceae
Description: tRNA-Glu
Source: RNAcentral
CCCCUUCUGUUCAGAGGCCGUGACACCGCCCUUUCACGGCGGUAACAGGGGUUCGAAUCCCCAGGGGACGCC